GGUCAGGCGGGGCUACCCGCUGAAUUUAAGCAUAUCAAUAAGCGGAGGAAAAGAAACUAACAAGGAUUCCCUUAGUAAC
Molecule: ribosomal RNA, 79 nt
Filed under: Medicago rigiduloides
Lineage: Eukaryota; Viridiplantae; Streptophyta; Magnoliopsida; Fabales; Fabaceae
Also listed under: 3 other names
Description: partial 26S ribosomal RNA
Rfam family: Eukaryotic large subunit ribosomal RNA
Source: RNAcentral